GAUGAAGAACGUAGCGAAAUGCGAUAAGUAAUGUGAAUUGCAGAAUUCCGUGAAUCAUCGAAUCUUUGAACGCACAUUGCGCCCCCUGGUAUUCCGGGGGGCAUGCCUGUCCGAGCGUCAUUGCAACCCUCAAGCGCGGCUUGUGUGUUGGGCUUCGUCCCCCCGUGGACGUGCCCGAAAGGCAGUGGCGGCGUCCCGAAUGGUGCCCGAGCGUAUGGGAACUCUCUUCCGCUCGAACCGGCCCAUUCGGGGCUGGUCGAACCCCAAUUUUUUUUUACCGGUUGACCUCGGAUCAGGUAGGGAUACCCGCUGAACUUAAGCAUAUCAAUAAGCGGAGGA
This 339-nucleotide unclassified non-coding RNA is filed under the name soil metagenome. Its description in RNAcentral is "partial contains 5.8S ribosomal RNA, internal transcribed spacer 2, and large subunit ribosomal RNA". The stretch from base 1 to 120 matches the Rfam family "5.8S ribosomal RNA", at positions 35 to 154 of the family's 154-position model. The record is from RNAcentral.